This 2514-nucleotide ribosomal RNA is filed under the name Staphylococcus aureus. Its description in RNAcentral is "bacterial LSU rRNA". It matches the Rfam family "Bacterial large subunit ribosomal RNA", at positions 310 to 2830 of the family's 2925-position model. Lineage: Bacteria; Bacillati; Bacillota; Bacilli; Caryophanales; Staphylococcaceae. The record is from RNAcentral.
CGGAGUUACAAAGGACGACAUUAGACGAAUCAUCUGGAAAGAUGAAUCAAAGAAGGUAAUAAUCCUGUAGUCGAAAAUGUUGUCUCUCUUGAGUGGAUCCUGAGUACGACGGAGCACGUGAAAUUCCGUCGGAAUCUGGGAGGACCAUCUCCUAAGGCUAAAUACUCUCUAGUGACCGAUAGUGAACCAGUACCGUGAGGGAAAGGUGAAAAGCACCCCGGAAGGAGAGUGAAAUAGAACCUGAAACCGUGUGCUUACAAGUAGUCAGAGCCCGUUAAUGGGUGAUGGCGUGCCUUUUGUAGAAUGAACCGGCGAGUUACGAUUUGAUGCAAGGUUAAGCAGUAAAUGUGGAGCCGUAGCGAAAGCGAGUCUGAAUAGGGCGUUUAGUAUUUGGUCGUAGACCCGAAACCAGGUGAUCUACCCUUGGUCAGGUUGAAGUUCAGGUAACACUGAAUGGAGGACCGAACCGACUUACGUUGAAAAGUGAGCGGAUGAACUGAGGGUAGCGGAGAAAUUCCAAUCGAACCUGGAGAUAGCUGGUUCUCUCCGAAAUAGCUUUAGGGCUAGCCUCAAGUGAUGAUUAUUGGAGGUAGAGCACUGUUUGGACGAGGGGCCCCUCUCGGGUUACCGAAUUCAGACAAACUCCGAAUGCCAAUUAAUUUAACUUGGGAGUCAGAACAUGGGUGAUAAGGUCCGUGUUCGAAAGGGAAACAGCCCAGACCACCAGCUAAGGUCCCAAAAUAUAUGUUAAGUGGAAAAGGAUGUGGCGUUGCCCAGACAACUAGGAUGUUGGCUUAGAAGCAGCCAUCAUUUAAAGAGUGCGUAAUAGCUCACUAGUCGAGUGACACUGCGCCGAAAAUGUACCGGGGCUAAACAUAUUACCGAAGCUGUGGAUUGUCCUUUGGACAAUGGUAGGAGAGCGUUCUAAGGGCGUUGAAGCAUGAUCGUAAGGACAUGUGGAGCGCUUAGAAGUGAGAAUGCCGGUGUGAGUAGCGAAAGACGGGUGAGAAUCCCGUCCACCGAUUGACUAAGGUUUCCAGAGGAAGGCUCGUCCGCUCUGGGUUAGUCGGGUCCUAAGCUGAGGCCGACAGGCGUAGGCGAUGGAUAACAGGUUGAUAUUCCUGUACCACCUAUAAUCGUUUUAAUCGAUGGGGGGACGCAGUAGGAUAGGCGAAGCGUGCGAUUGGAUUGCACGUCUAAGCAGUAAGGCUGAGUAUUAGGCAAAUCCGGUACUCGUUAAGGCUGAGCUGUGAUGGGGAGAAGACAUUGUGUCUUCGAGUCGUUGAUUUCACACUGCCGAGAAAAGCCUCUAGAUAGAAAAUAGGUGCCCGUACCGCAAACCGACACAGGUAGUCAAGAUGAGAAUUCUAAGGUGAGCGAGCGAACUCUCGUUAAGGAACUCGGCAAAAUGACCCCGUAACUUCGGGAGAAGGGGUGCUCUUUAGGGUUAACGCCCAGAAGAGCCGCAGUGAAUAGGCCCAAGCGACUGUUUAUCAAAAACACAGGUCUCUGCUAAACCGUAAGGUGAUGUAUAGGGGCUGACGCCUGCCCGGUGCUGGAAGGUUAAGAGGAGUGGUUAGCUUCUGCGAAGCUACGAAUCGAAGCCCCAGUAAACGGCGGCCGUAACUAUAACGGUCCUAAGGUAGCGAAAUUCCUUGUCGGGUAAGUUCCGACCCGCACGAAAGGCGUAACGAUUUGGGCACUGUCUCAACGAGAGACUCGGUGAAAUCAUAGUACCUGUGAAGAUGCAGGUUACCCGCGACAGGACGGAAAGACCCCGUGGAGCUUUACUGUAGCCUGAUAUUGAAAUUCGGCACAGCUUGUACAGGAUAGGUAGGAGCCUUUGAAACGUGAGCGCUAGCUUACGUGGAGGCGCUGGUGGGAUACUACCCUAGCUGUGUUGGCUUUCUAACCCGCACCACUUAUCGUGGUGGGAGACAGUGUCAGGCGGGCAGUUUGACUGGGGCGGUCGCCUCCUAAAAGGUAACGGAGGCGCUCAAAGGUUCCCUCAGAAUGGUUGGAAAUCAUUCAUAGAGUGUAAAGGCAUAAGGGAGCUUGACUGCGAGACCUACAAGUCGAGCAGGGUCGAAAGACGGACUUAGUGAUCCGGUGGUUCCGCAUGGAAGGGCCAUCGCUCAACGGAUAAAAGCUACCCCGGGGAUAACAGGCUUAUCUCCCCCAAGAGUUCACAUCGACGGGGAGGUUUGGCACCUCGAUGUCGGCUCAUCGCAUCCUGGGGCUGUAGUCGGUCCCAAGGGUUGGGCUGUUCGCCCAUUAAAGCGGUACGCGAGCUGGGUUCAGAACGUCGUGAGACAGUUCGGUCCCUAUCCGUCGUGGGCGUAGGAAAUUUGAGAGGAGCUGUCCUUAGUACGAGAGGACCGGGAUGGACAUACCUCUGGUGUACCAGUUGUCGUGCCAACGGCAUAGCUGGGUAGCUAUGUGUGGACGGGAUAAGUGCUGAAAGCAUCUAAGCAUGAAGCCCCCCUCAAGAUGAGAUUUCCCAACUUCGGUUAU